CACUAUCGUUAACUGAAUACAUAGGUUAACGAGGCGAACCGGGGGAACUGAAACAUCUAAGUACCCCGAGGAAAAGAAAUCAACCGAGAUUCCCCCAGUAGCGGCGAGCGAACGGGGAGCAGCCCAGAGUCUGAAUCAGCUUGUGUGUUAGUGGAACGGUCUGGAAAGUCCGACGGUACAGGGUGAUAGUCCCGUACACCAAAAUGCACAGGUUGUGAACUCGAAGAGUAGGGCGGGACACGUGGUAUCCUGUCUGAAUAUGGGGGGACCAUCCUCCAAGGCUAAAUACUCCUGACUGACCGAUAGUGAACCAGUACCGUGAGGGAAAGGCGAAAAGAACCCCGGCGAGGGGAGUGAAAAAGAACCUGAAACCGUGUACGUACAAGCAGUGGGAGCACCUUCGGGUGUGACUGCGUACCUUUUGUAUAAUGGGUCAGCGACUUAUAUUCUGUAGCAAGGUUAACCGUAUAGGGGAGCCGCAGGGAAACCGAGUCUUAACUGGGCGUUAAGUUGCAGGGUAUAGACCCGAAACCCGGUGAUCUAGCCAUGGGCAGGUUGAAGGUUGGGUAACACUAACUGGAGGACCGAACCGACUAAUGUUGAAAAAUUAGCGGAUGACUUGUGGCUGGGGGUGAAAGGCCAAUCAAACCGGGAGAUAGCUGGUUCUCCCCGAAAGCUAUUUAGGUAGCGCCUCGUGAACUCAUCUUCGGGGGUAGAGCACUGUUUCGGCUAGGGGGUCAUCCCGACUUACCAACCCGAUGCAAACUACGAAUACCGAAGAAUGUUAUCACGGGAGACACACGGCGGGUGCUAACGUCCGUCGUGAAGAGGGAAACAACCCAGACCGCCAGCUAAGGUCCCAAAGUCAUGGUUAAGUGGGAAACGAUGUGGGAAGGCACAGACAGCCAGGAUGUUGGCUUAGAAGCAGCCAUCAUUUAAAGAAAGCGUAAUAGCUCACUGGUCGAGUCGGCCUGCGCGGAAGAUGUAACGGGGCUAAACCAUGCACCGAAGCUGCGGCAGCGACACUAUGUGUUGUUGGGUAGGGGAGCGUUCUGUAAGCCUGCGAAGGUGUGCUGUGAGGCAUGCUGGAGGUAUCAGAAGUGCGAAUGCUGACAUAAGUAACGAUAAAGCGGGUGAAAAGCCCGCUCGCCGGAAGACCAAGGGUUCCUGUCCAACGUUAAUCGGGGCAGGGUGAGUCGACCCCUAAGGCGAGGCCGAAAGGCGUAGUCGAUGGGAAACAGGUUAAUAUUCCUGUACUUGGUGUUACUGCGAAGGGGGGACGGAGAAGGCUAUGUUAGCCGGGCGACGGUUGUCCCGGUUUAAGCAUGUAGGCUGAUUAUCCAGGCAAAUCCGGAUAAUCAAGGCUGAGGUGUGAUGACGAGGCACUACGGUGCUGAAGUAACAAAUGCCCUGCUUCCAGGAAAAGCCUCUAAGCAUCAGGUAACAUUAAAUCGUACCCCAAACCGACACAGGUGGUCAGGUAGAGAAUACCAAGGCGCUUGAGAGAACUCGGGUGAAGGAACUAGGCAAAAUGGUGCCGUAACUUCGGGAGAAGGCACGCUGGUGUGUAGGUGAAGUCCCUGCGGAUGGAGCUGAGACCAGUCGAAGAUACCAGCUGGCUGCAACUGUUUAUUAAAAACACAGCACUGUGCAAACACGAAAGUGGACGUAUACGGUGUGACGCCUGCCCGGUGCCGGAAGGUUAAUUGAUGGGGUUAUCCGUAAGGAGAAGCUCUUGAUCGAAGCCCCGGUAAACGGCGGCCGUAACUAUAACGGUCCUAAGGUAGCGAAAUUCCUUGUCGGGUAAGUUCCGACCUGCACGAAUGGCGUAAUGAUGGCCAGGCUGUCUCCACCCGAGACUCAGUGAAAUUGAACUCGCUGUGAAGAUGCAGUGUACCCGCGGCAAGACGGAAAGACCCCGUGAACCUUUACUAUAGCUUGACACUGAACAUUGAGCCUUGAUGUGUAGGAUAGGUGGGAGGCUUUGAAGCGUGGACGCCAGUCUGCGUGGAGCCAACCUUGAAAUACCACCCUUUAAUGUUUGAUGUUCUAACGUUGGCCCCUGACCGGGGUUGCGGACAGUGUCUGGUGGGUAGUUUGACUGGGGCGGUCUCCUCCCAAAGCGUAACGGAGGAGCACGAAGGUUAGCUAAUCCUGGUCGGACAUCAGGAGGUUAGUGCAAUGGCAUAAGCUAGCUUGACUGCGAGCGUGACGGCGCGAGCAGGUGCGAAAGCAGGUCAUAGUGAUCCGGUGGUUCUGAAUGGAAGGGCCAUCGCUCAACGGAUAAAAGGUACUCCGGGGAUAACAGGCUGAUACCGCCCAAGAGUUCAUAUCGACGGCGGUGUUUGGCACCUCGAUGUCGGCUCAUCACAUCCUGGGGCUGAAGUAGGUCCCAAGGGUAUGGCUGUUCGCCAUUUAAAGUGGUACGCGAGCUGGGUUUAGAACGUCGUGAGACAGUUCGGUCCCUAUCUGCCGUGGGCGCUGGAGAAUUGAGGGGGGCUGCUCCUAGUACGAGAGGACCGGAGUGGACGCAUCACUGGUGUUCGGGUUGUCAUGCCAAUGGCACUGCCCGGUAGCUAAAUGCGGAAGAGAUAAGUGCUGAAAGCAUCUAAGCACGAAACUUGCCCCGAGAUGAGUUCUCCCUGAGACUUUAAGUCUCCUGAAGGAACGUUGAAGACGACGACGUUGAUAGGCCGGGUGUGUAAGCGCAGCGAUGCGUUGAGCUAACCGGUACUAAUGAACCGUGAGGCUUAACCUU
Molecule: ribosomal RNA, 2758 nt
Filed under: Klebsiella pneumoniae CHS 30
Lineage: Bacteria; Pseudomonadati; Pseudomonadota; Gammaproteobacteria; Enterobacterales; Enterobacteriaceae
Description: bacterial LSU rRNA
Rfam family: Bacterial large subunit ribosomal RNA
Source: RNAcentral